Molecule: ribosomal RNA, 1102 nt
Filed under: Epitheca cynosura
Lineage: Eukaryota; Metazoa; Arthropoda; Insecta; Odonata; Corduliidae
Description: Tetragoneuria cynosura partial 16S ribosomal RNA
Source: RNAcentral
AAUUAUAAAUUUACUAAUUUUUUUUCCCGUAAUAUUACAGAAAUAUCUUUAUAAUAUAGUAUAUUAAAGAAAAUUUAUUUUUUGUUAUAGUUUAAUAGUACCGUGAGGGAAUUUAUUGAAAUAUUUGAAAAUUUUAUUUUUGGUUAAGUAUACUUAAUUUGUAGUACCUUUUGUAUCAGGGUUAAUCAAAUAUAUUANNNNNNNNNNNNNNNNNNNNUCUCGAUUUCAGAAGAGCUAAACUAUUAAUUUAUUUAUUGUUACAAAACUAUUAAUAAUAUAGUUUAGGGGGGAAAUCCUAUUCGUUUUUGAUGGUAUCUGGUUUUUUAAGAAUUAAAUUUAAUUUAAUUUCAUUAUUUAAUUUUUAUCUUUUUAUUAAAGGUUAUUUAUUGAAUUAAAAAUUGUAGGGGAUAAGCUCUACAUUAAUCUAAAAUAUUUAUUAUUAAUCAAUUUAUAUAGGGUUAAGAUUAUCCAUUAUUAUUAGGUGUGUUAUAAUUUAUAUUGAUUAUUAAUUAAUUUAUUUAUUUUUAGAAUCAUAUUAAAAUAUCUAGAUUAAUUUUUUGUUUAGUGAAAUAAUGAUUAAAUUAGUAUAAUUAAUAUGUUUAAUAUAAUUUUUUAUUUAUAAUAAGAUAAGGAAUUCGGCAAAUGUAAUACUCGCCUGUUUAACAAAAACAUGUCCUUUUGAGUAUAAAUAAAAGGUCUGACCUGCCCAGUGAUUUAUUUUAACGGCCGCGGUAUAUUGACCGUGCAAAGGUAGCAUAAUCAUUAGUCUUUUAAAAGAGGGCUGGAAUGAAGGGUUUGACGAGGUAUUAACUGUCUCAUUUUAUUGGAAUUAGAAUUUAACUUWUUAGUCAAAAGGCUUAAAUUUAAUUGGUAGACGAGAAGACCCUAUAGAGCUUUAUAUUAACUUUUUUGAUUUUUAUUUAGAUAAUUUUUAAUUAUGGGAUUUAGUAUUUUGUWGGGGUGACAAGAAAAUAAAAAUAACUUUUUUAAUUAUUUAACAUUAAUAUAUGAUUAUUUGAUCCAAUAUUAUUGAUUAAUAGAUUAAGUUACCUUAGGGAUAACAGCGUAAUCCUCCCCCAGAGUUCAUAUUUACGGGUAGGGC